AACGAACGCUGGCGGCAUGCCUAACACAUGCAAGUCGAACGCGUGUAGCAAUACACGAGUGGCGGACGGGUGAGUAACACGUGGGUGACCUGCCCUCAGCUCUGGGAUAAGCCUGGGAAACCGGGUCUAAUACUGGAUAUGACUCCAUGACGCAUGUUGUGGGGUGGAAAGCCUUGUGCGGCUGAGGAUGGGCCCGCGGCCUAUCAGCUUGUUGGNGGGGUGAUGGCCUACCAAGGCGAUGACGGGUAGCUGGUCUGAGAGGAUGAUCAGCCACACUGGAACUGAGACACGGUCCAGACUCCUACGGGAGGCAGCAGUGGGGAA
Molecule: ribosomal RNA, 324 nt
Filed under: uncultured bacterium
Lineage: Bacteria
Description: bacterial SSU rRNA
Rfam family: Bacterial small subunit ribosomal RNA
Source: RNAcentral